Molecule: long non-coding RNA, 323 nt
Organism: Brienomyrus brachyistius
Lineage: Eukaryota; Metazoa; Chordata; Actinopteri; Osteoglossiformes; Mormyridae
Exons: 3
Source: RefSeq, a predicted model, not a curated record
AGUCCUGGUCUCCCCAGUUUUCCUUGUCUGUCAUUGAUGUUCGUUGGCGUGAGUAGAUGUUCCCCGUAUCUGUUUCCUGUCCACGAAUAAAUCCCCAGUAUUUCCCGACUUUGCCUACUUGCCUGUUCCUGCUCGCCUGCCGACCCGCACGAUCGCUGCUUCGCCCGACCGCGGUCGUGACACAGAUGAAAAGAACAGUGAUAUAUCAAAAGUGGAAUGGUCACGCAAGCAAUGCAAUGACGAGGACACACUGAAUUACGCUGCCCUGAACCUUAAGAAGCCAAAACCCAGGAGACAGAAGAAAGACAGGAAUAAUGACACUC